AACGAACGCUGGCGGUAUGCCUAACACAUGCAAGUCGAACGAGACCUGCGGGUCUAGUGGCGCACGGGUGCGUAGCGCGUCAGAACCUGUGGUUAGCUUCGGAAUAACUCCUGGUCAGGGGUGCAAAUAACGGGUAAUGUAUUCGGACCAAGCAUGCAACGUCGUGGGAUGGGCCGGCGUUGGUUUAACUCGGUGGAAGGGUAAAAGCCUACGAAGUCGACGAUCCAUAGCUGGUCUUAGAUGAUGAUCUGCCACAAUGGGGCGGAGACACGGCGCAGACUCCUGCGGGAGGCAGCAGUGGGUAAUAGAGGACGAGGGGCGGCAGGCUGAUGCAGCAAUGCCGGGGGAGUGAUGAGGGCCUUAGGGUUGUAAAGCUCUUUUACCCGGGAUGAUAAUGACAGUACCGGAAGAAUAAGCCCCGGCUAACUCCGUG
This 433-nucleotide ribosomal RNA is filed under the name uncultured bacterium. RNAcentral's name for it is "partial 16S ribosomal RNA". It matches the Rfam family "Bacterial small subunit ribosomal RNA", at positions 29 to 507 of the family's 1533-position model. The record is from RNAcentral.